CAUGUCUUUUUGAUUAUAAUUUAAAGUCUAAUCUGCUCAAUGAGUAAUUAAAUUGCCGCGGUAUUUUGACUGUGCAAAGGUAGCAUAAUAAUUAGUUUUUUUAUUGAAAGCUGGAAUGAAUGAUUGGACGAGAAAAUAACUGUCUCUUUUUAAUUUUUUUUUAAUUUAACUUUUAAGUUAAAAGGCUUAAAUUUUAAUUAAAGACGAGAAGACCCUAUAGAGUUUAAUAGUUUAUUUAAAUUUUAUUUUUUGGAAUAUUUUAGUUUAUUUUAAUUUAAUUAUUUUGUUGGGGUGACUAGAAGAAUAAUUAAACUCUUCUAAAUUUUAAUCAUUGAUUUUUGAAUAUAUAUUCUAGUUUUUUAAGUUUAAGAUUAAUUACCUUAGGGAUAACAGCGUAAUUUUUCUUUAGAGUUCUUAUUAUAAGAAAAGAUUGCGACCUCGAUGUUGGAUUAAAAUUUAUUUUUGGUGCAGAAGCUAUAAAAUUAAGUCUGUUCGACUUUUAAAAUUUUACAUGAUCUGAGU
RNAcentral lists this ribosomal RNA (522 nucleotides) under Anchastus sp. UPOL RK0051. RNAcentral describes it as "partial 16S ribosomal RNA". The stretch from base 386 to 522 matches the Rfam family "Archaeal large subunit ribosomal RNA", at positions 2542 to 2679 of the family's 2987-position model. Lineage: Eukaryota; Metazoa; Arthropoda; Insecta; Coleoptera; Elateridae. The record is from RNAcentral.